GCUGGGCGCAGUGGCGUGUGCCUGUAACUGUAGCUACCUGCAGGGCUGAGGUCUGUAGAUGGUUUCAGGUCGGGACUCCUGGGGGGGUGCUGCUCUAUGUUGAGCGGACGCCCGCACUGGGUUUGGCAUCAAUAUGGGUAUUGCGGAGGAGUCCAGUGAUGUCCAGGUUGUAUAAUGAGAACCGUAUCGGCCCAGGCCCUAGCGGGAGCAGGCAAAAGGCUCCGUACUGAGUGGUAGUGGGAUAACGUCUGUGAAUUCAUUCACCAGCCUGGCCAAUAAUUAAUCAGACCAAACUUUUU
Molecule: signal recognition particle RNA, 299 nt
Filed under: Amphimedon queenslandica
Lineage: Eukaryota; Metazoa; Porifera; Demospongiae; Haplosclerida; Niphatidae
Description: Metazoan signal recognition particle RNA
Rfam family: Metazoan signal recognition particle RNA
About the family: The signal recognition particle (SRP) is a universally conserved ribonucleoprotein. It is involved in the co-translational targeting of proteins to membranes. The eukaryotic SRP consists of a 300-nucleotide 7S RNA and six proteins: SRPs 72, 68, 54, 19, 14, and 9.
Source: Rfam by way of RNAcentral